CUUCGAUUAAGGUUCGACUCGAGCGGAAGCGAGAGAACGUUGCCAACGGCAACGGCCCGAAGGGCGCGACGCGCCGAGUCAUCCUUCCCCUACCAUAA
This 98-nucleotide small RNA is filed under the name Salmonella enterica. RNAcentral describes it as "partial RtT sRNA". It matches the Rfam family "RtT RNA", at positions 30 to 130 of the family's 130-position model. Rfam says of the family: This family represents a bacterial cis-regulatory element known as RtT RNA. Lineage: Bacteria; Pseudomonadati; Pseudomonadota; Gammaproteobacteria; Enterobacterales; Enterobacteriaceae. The record is from RNAcentral. RNAcentral also lists the same sequence under 2 other names.